AUGUUUUUUAUUUUACACCGAUGUUGUCGAGAAUCUUCAAUGUAGAAGUUAUAUAGUUAUACGCGAAGGGGUAGUUAGCAAGUGUUGUGUUCAGUAGUUCUAUCAAGCGUAGUCCAGAUUGAAGCUCAAAACGACUAUCACUCAGGCUAGAAAGGGGCGAUCAAGGGGAGAUUCGAGUUGGACGAUUCAAGCUAGAAAAACUCUCGAGCUCCAAGAUUCAAGCGCAAAAAAUCGCUCAAUUGCUCGGACAAUAUUCAAGAUCAAAGGUGAUUUAGGGUUUUAUUUUGAUAUGAAUAUCGAUUCAGGGUGCAUCAUCAUGUCUAACUCUGUUCCGACUUUCAUCAGUUAGUGAUAGUAGUCAGGUGUCAUUACAAGAGUUGGAGCAUGCUCAAGAUGCAAAUGGAGAAUUUGGGGGAGAUAAUAGAGCUAGAAUUACUGGUACCUUGCACCGCAUAUCUGUAAUUAGAAGCUAAAAUGGUUCAUUAGUUGGUUUAACUUGCCGAGUUGGCAGGGCUGUCAGGGGUUAUAUUGCUAUGGUCCAAGAUCUUCUUCAGUAUGGAGAAAGCAUCUUGUUUGUCAGAAGGUUUUGCCGGUUCGUGCUAAAUUCCAACAAGCCCAGAAGCACAACAACCGGAGCAUUGACUCCAUUGUCCCUGCUGGUUUAGAAACUGCAAUGUUCUUUCAAAAGAGCCCAAGGACAUUGGCAUAUUUAAAUAGCAGAUAGCUAGCCAAUUAGAAUUCCA
This is a long non-coding RNA of Daucus carota subsp. sativus, 743 nucleotides long. RefSeq lists it as uncharacterized. The record is from RefSeq and is a predicted model, not a curated record. Lineage: Eukaryota; Viridiplantae; Streptophyta; Magnoliopsida; Apiales; Apiaceae. The transcript is spliced from 5 exons.